RNAcentral lists this ribosomal RNA (253 nucleotides) under uncultured bacterium. Its description in RNAcentral is "partial 16S ribosomal RNA". It matches the Rfam family "Bacterial small subunit ribosomal RNA", at positions 524 to 776 of the family's 1533-position model. The record is from RNAcentral.
UACGUAGGUGGCGAGCGUUGUCCGGAUUUACUGGGCGUAAAGGGAGCGUAGGCGGACUUUUAAGUGAGAUGUGAAAUACUCGGGCACAACUUGAGUGCUGCAUUUCAAACUGGAAGUCUAGAGUGCAGGAGAGGAGAAUGGAACUCCUAGUGUAGCGGUGAAAUGCGUAGAGAUUAGGAAGAACACCAGUGGCGAAGGCGAUUCUCUGGACUGUAACUGACGCUGAGGCUCGAAAGCGUGGGGAGCAAACAGG